CAUUAUUGCCAUACCAUCCUGAAUACAAUAUAUCUAGCCUGAUUUUGGAAGCUAAGCAGGAUCAGGCCUAUUUAGUGUACUUUGAAUGCUGUUGGCUAGUUAGAAUUGACAGUGUUGGGGUAGAUAGGC
RNAcentral lists this ribosomal RNA (129 nucleotides) under Pogona vitticeps (central bearded dragon). The record is from RNAcentral. Lineage: Eukaryota; Metazoa; Chordata; Lepidosauria; Squamata; Agamidae.